This 1218-nucleotide ribosomal RNA is filed under the name Triticum aestivum (bread wheat). RNAcentral describes it as "partial small subunit ribosomal RNA". Lineage: Eukaryota; Viridiplantae; Streptophyta; Magnoliopsida; Poales; Poaceae. The record is from RNAcentral.
AUGGGGUUCAAGAUAAAAUUCAAGAACCUACUGCGCGCCGCGGGAAGCAGCCGAUACGGCGGCGGCGCCGCCGAGGCUGCACCGACGACGCCACCACGGGUUCCGCUCGCACCACCGCCCGCAUCGCCCACCUCGCCGCCCCCGCUUCAGGCGCCACGACCCCCUCCGCGCCCCCCCGGCAAGGACACGGAUGAAGGACCGGACGAUGAGGAUUGGCAGGAGGUGGCAGAUGAUGAGGAUGAUGGACCGGACGAUGAGAAUUCUCAGGAGGUGGCAGACGAUGAGCGCAAAAACUGGAAGCAACUUCUGGAUGGCAAGCGAACAUACCUCCGACCACCAAGGGAGCACCAUGUUGUCAGUGAUGUUUUCAAGUGUCCGGAUACUCGUAAAGCUGCAUUAGGACGCCAGAAACGACUCUCGCGUUUGGUUGAGAAACAUUCAAAGAAUUUCUUCAAGGAAAAGAUCAAGAUUCUCUGUCAGCAUUAUGCGCACUUCAGAAGAACUCGUGGAGAUGGCAGCUGUUUCUACAGGGCAUUCUUAUUCUCCUACUUGGAAAACCUUGGAUUAAUGCAAGAUAGUCAAGCUGAAGUUACUCGUCUAAUGGAACAUGUGGCUAUGUCCAGAGAGAAUUUCUGUCGUCUGAAAUGGGAUAAAGCAUACUUCUUAAAUCCUGAAGAAUACUUUUCAAGUGUUUUUUCUGAGUUCAGUCAUUUGGUCAACUCAGUUGCGAAUGGUCUGAGUUCUGAUGAGCUGUACAAUAGAAGUAUACAGGAGAUCGUGCCACUCAGGAUUAUUUCUUUGCUAAGAUUGCUGGCAGAGACUGAGAUCCGAUCACAAGAAGACGAUUUCAAAUCACUUCUCCCAAAAGAAAUGGAUGCCCUUACGUAUUGCUGCAAGGAGCUGCGUCCUCUGGAUGUUGAAGCUGAGGUGCUACCAAUGAGGGCUCUAACAUAUGCGCUUGGCAUUCCGUUGCGUGUCGAAACUGUGGGCGAAGGUUCGAAUCGCGGAAUUCAAGUGGAGCGCCUUGAUUUAUUCCCCCGGUCGGAAUCGGGGAAGGGUCCUCUUCAUUUGGUACAAAGCUACUGGUCAUCCAUCACAACCCCUGAACCACAUGAGAUCGGAAGUGGCAACUUGUUAUCAUCUGACGGCACACCUUUGCUGACAUUGUUGUGUAGGCCUAGGCACUGUGACAUUCUUUAUCGCAGUGAACAAAACUAA